Molecule: ribosomal RNA, 985 nt
Filed under: Francisella sp. 774c
Lineage: Bacteria; Pseudomonadati; Pseudomonadota; Gammaproteobacteria; Thiotrichales; Francisellaceae
Description: bacterial SSU rRNA
Rfam family: Bacterial small subunit ribosomal RNA
Source: RNAcentral
UCCCGUGCCCAGCAGCCGCGGUAAUACGGGGGGGUGCAAGCGUUUAUUCGGAAUUACUGGGCGUAAAGGGUCUGUAGGUGGUUUGUUAAGUCAGAUGUGAAAGCCCCAGGGCUCAACCCUUGGAACUGCAUUUGAUACUGGCAAACUAGAGUACGGUAGAGGAAUGGGGAAUUUCUGGUGUAGCGGUGAAAUGCGUAGAGAUCAGAAGGAACACCAAUGGCGAAGGCAACAUUCUGGACCGAUACUGACACUGAGGGACGAAAGCGUGGGGAUCAAACAGGAUUAGAUACCCUGGUAGUCCACGCUGUAAACGAUGAGUACUAGCUGUUGGAGUCGGUGUAAAGGCUCUAGUGGCGCAGCUAACGCGAUAAGUACUCCGCCUGGGGACUACGGCCGCAAGGCUAAAACUCAAAGGAAUUGACGGGGACCCGCACAAGCGGUGGAGCAUGUGGUUUAAUUCGAUGCAACGCGAAGAACCUUACCUGGUCUUGACAUCCUGCGAGCUUUCUAGAGAUAGAUUAGUGCCUUCGGGAACGCAGUGACAGGUGCUGCACGGCUGUCGUCAGCUCGUGUUGUGAAAUGUUGGGUUAAGUCCCGCAACGAGCGCAACCCCUAUUGAUAGUUACCAUCAUUAAGUUGGGUACUCUAUUGAGACUGCCGCUGACAAGGCGGAGGAAGGUGGGGACGACGUCAAGUCAUCAUGGCCCUUACGACCAGGGCUACACACGUGCUACAAUGGGUAUUACAGAGGGCUGCGAAGGAGCGAUCUGGAGCGAAACUCAAAAAGGUACUCUUAGUCCGGAUUGCAGUCUGCAACUCGACUGCAUGAAGUCGGAAUCGCUAGUAAUCGCAGGUCAGAAUACUGCGGUGAAUACGUUCCCGGGUCUUGUACACACCGCCCGUCACACCAUGGGAGUGGGUUGCUCCAGAAGUAGAUAGCUAUUUUGUUGUCCACCCCACGGACCAUCAGUGUAGGUCCUCAAUG